Long non-coding RNA from Gallus gallus (chicken), 7223 nucleotides. NCBI's taxonomy places the organism in Eukaryota, Metazoa, Chordata, Aves, Galliformes, Phasianidae. The record is from Ensembl.
AUAGUUUAUUCCAGGCCUACAGUAACUGUGCUUGAGGCUGUUCGAGUGAAAUGGUUAAAUCAGGAAGCUGAGCAUCCAGAUCCUUUAAUCUCUUUCUGUUACACUGUGUCCUUGUGUGUCAUCCUGGAUAAACCCAUUUACCUACUGGUGUCUUUAUUUCUUUGAUAUUCGUUAGUGUUUAAAUUGUCUACAAUAUCUACACCACACAAACAGGACAGCUUUUUUAGAAACCUAAAUUAAAAGAUGCAAUAUAAAUAAGAAGUAAUUGUAUGUUCUUUAAUGGGUAUUCUUACUUGAGUUGCUGACCUCUGUGGUACUCAAAAGCUUGUCAACAAGAAAUCAAAAAAUCAAUAAGGAAAAUAACCUGGGAUGGAGGAUGGGUCUCUAAUUGCAGCACUGAGUGUCAAUAGGAUAAAUGUCUUAAUGCUGAUUAAUGACUGUCCGUAAUGGUAUUCAAAAAAUGUAGGUUUGCUGUGGCUUUUUCAAAGUCCAGAUGAGCUGCUUGGAGCUCUGCUAAUGAUGCAAAUUAUUUAACGCUCAUUUGUAUGCAGUAUGCUCCUGCUUUGAAAGUACUUCACAGAAUUCAAGCCAAAUUCAGCCUUACAGCUCCACUGAAGUCAGUGCUUGUUUGUGCAUCUGUUGAUUGCUUUUCUUUUCUUUUUUCUUUUUUUGGCUUUUUUUUUUAUUUUGUUCUGUUUGAAGAGUUAUUUUCUUGUUGCACUGAUUUUAUUUUCUUAAAGGUAAUAUCUGCAAGGGGUUUGUAGUCACUUCUCCCCUCCCCAGUAAAGUAGCUGUAAGUACAAAUGCAGUUCUGUUGAUUCUCCCAUCUCCUUCUUAAGCCCUACAAAUGAGGACAAGCUAAGCAGAAAAUAGAGUUUUGUGUUCUUUCCUUUCUACUACUUUGCACCUCCUAAGCACAGUUUUGGUGACAUAUGGCACUUCUCCUAAAAAAAUGUCCUGCAAAGAAUCUCUGCCUGCCAUCUGAUGUAUCCAAGAAACUGAGUUCCUGUGGCCCAUUUCUGGAUUAACCCAACAUGAACUGAUGAAGGCCCAGGACAUGCACAAUUCUGCAGGUUAGUUAUGCUCAGCCAUAACAAUGUAAGGAUGCAUCUUGUUAUGGCUGACAGCAAUAUGGUAUGGGAGUCUGACCUGAUAUUUAGAAUAAAAUUAGCUGCUGGAAGGGAGAACAGGCAUUCUUAGUUCAGACAUGUAUUUUAGUAUUUGACUUUAUAAUUGAAAUAUUCCUUUAAUGUAGUUUUUAACUUGACCCAGCUGUGUUUUUAACACACACACUGGGGGUGGUGGGGAAACAUUAUCUGCAAUCAUAUCAUUCACUCCUCCUGGGUAAUGGGCAGGGGUGUGAUUUUUAGCUUACAGCAUAGCCCUACAACUCAACUGCCUGCAUAGAGUAAGUGGGAGUAAUGGAAAAGCUUCCUUUCUAAGUGUGCACGUCACUAGAAUGGGCAGAGAUGUUUCUUGUCAGCUCUUAAAUAUUUGCUGGCAGCAUCAAUACAGGGAUGAGUGUUGAGAUGUGGGAAUAAUGGGUUCGUUUCCAAGCUGUAUGGAGGAUGAAUCUAGAUGCCCCGCCGCCCUAUGUUAUAUAACAGUAUUAUAGUAUGUGAUUUCCCCUCUCCCUUUCCUGCAGCACAGCUCUCCCAGCCUCCCAGCCUGUGCUCAUCGCAGUGCUCUCUACAACAUGGCUCCUCCUCCCGAGCUGCCUGCCCAUUCCUUCUGGCCCGCAUCUCUUCCCUGUCCCUUGCUGGGGUAGCUGUAAUCCCCACAGGAAUGUGGCCCACGGCCUCGGGCAUGUGACUCCAGAGAGCUUCUGAUGGUGAAUGCAAAGCAGGAAAAAGCAAUCUUGUGACAUCUAGCAGCGUAGGAAGGGAAGCGCUGGGCAUCUGUGGGCUGUUCGGUGUGCGUGGCUGUCCAGCCACCUCAUCAGACAGAAAAACAGAGGCUAGACUUUUCGGCUGCAUGUGUUGUUUCCCUGUCCAUUGUGUCUGGGUGAUGUAUUCUCUGCCUGUGGUUUUAAUAAAUGUCUUUCUAAGCUACUUUCUGCUUCAGUCCCCUUCGGAAUAGCUCAUUCCAACUUGGCUGCUUCAGUAUGCUGAAGAUGUUAAGUCAGUUAUGUGGAAAAGGGGAAAAAAGAAAACUUCAUGUAGAACAUCUGAGAAAGCUGUAACUGUAUCUCUGUGAAGAUGCUAUAUGCUACACAGAAGUAUUUGCCAUGAGAAUCCCAAACUACUGCUAGGACCCAAGCUUGUGUUGGAUUCUAAUAAGCCUUUGCAGGUAGGAUGUCGCUGUGUUGUAGAGUACCCUGCAGAUUUCAACAAUUCCAGUGAAUUUCUGUUUGUGGAAACUGAGUUUUGUUCUACGUAGUAAGCACCCAUCUUAACCCUGCUGGAGCAGAACAGCCCUUUUCCUAGCAGAAACCAGAGCUGUUGUUGAUUAAUGUCUUGCUGAAAACUAAGUCUUUGCCAUCUGUUCCGCCCCCUCACUACGAAUGCCACUCUCAUUAUGUUGAUUAUGUAAUUAAAAAUGAAAAUAUAUUUUGGUAAGAGUGCUGCAUAGGCAUCUGUGCUUAUUCUUCUGUUCCUGUUCACUGCCCCCUGCCCCCGUCCCAUACAGAAGGGAAAAGACAACAAUUGUUCCACUCGGCAGUGGCUUUAUAUUGAAGCUGUCGCACUGGCUGCCAGACUGGUGCACGUCAUGGGAGCAGCCACUCGAGCCCCGCUGUGUCUGAGCUGCGGCUCCUUCGGAAACCCCGGCUAUUAGGUUCAUGAGAAAUCCGUGGCAGGAAGCUGACCCUUAAACCAAGGCUCCUUUAAGUUCUUGUGAUGGGUUAACUUGAAUCCAGAACAUGAAAAGAGAAGAGAAAGAGGCCUGGCUACUUCAUAAGAGAUAGUGUGACCUCUGAGAUCAGCGAGGCUGCUCAUGUUACAAAUAUGGCCUGUCUAUCUAAGGACCGAGGAAGAGAAAGAGAGGAGGGGUAGCCUUCUUGUAAGUGGGUUAGAGCAAUUACUGAGGUCUCUUACAGCAAAUUAAGUCGUUAGUGUGAGUCACGUUCCCUUUUUUCCUCUCUGCUGCCAAGUUUUAAGCAGUAACCAGACAGGGAGGAAAAAAAGGGAAAAGCAACAAUGGAGAAGAGUUGAACUGAAACAACCCUUCAUUCAGGGUAUUGUUUGACAUUUUAGUUCUGAUUGUACAUAGAGAUAAAGGACCUAUAAAUAUCCUGUCUGCUGAAAUUCCUUAUAACAACAUCGCCUGUCAGCUGAACAAAUAGGUUAGGUUCUCUAAAUACUACCUAAUUACACAUGUAAAUACAAAUUACUGAUUGUAUCCCUGCACCGCGUGGAAUGAAGGCCUGAUCACUGGGAGGAACAUUAAUCUCCUGUUUUACUGAGAUGCCCCAGUCCCAGGAGAGCAAAUGGCACAUACAGCUAUUACUGCUGAAUUGGUGCAAGUUCCGAGAUCAGACUGAAGCAAGCAAGGAGAUAUUUAUCUGGCUGAUGAACGUAGAUGAAAGCCUCUUCUGACGCUUCUGAAAGUAUCUCAGCAUCUAGUUCUGUUUAACAAAUGGCUGGAAGCUUUUCUACUCUGCUUCAGAGCUUUUAAUGAAGCAUUGUGAUUCCCAUUGUGGUCGACUGUUUGACAGUUUUAUUAUUACUGGUAUGCAUAGCGUUUUUUAAUGUUUGACAGCUGGAGAAAGAAGUAUUUUGUGCAUUCAAAUUUUUAGUACAAAGCUGCUGUUUUCUAUUCUGCCUUUGCCUUUGUCUCUUAUUGCUGAUGCGAAUCAAUGAAAGACAGAACUGAUGAAAUUACAUUUGUUUACUUUUUACUUGAUAAUAAUAAGACACAGCCAGCCCUUUGUAAAAGACAGAAAUGGGGGAUGUGAAUGUUUCUACAGUAUUUCUGUGUGUUUUUUUUUUCUUAUAGCAUAAAGGCAUUUAUUUGUUUCUUAUGUCUUGAUUUAUAAGAUAAUGUGCACUUCCUAAUGUAUGUGGAAUAAGAAUGGAGCAAUGAAUGACAGUUAGCAAUGGAUUCCACUUGAAAAUCUCUUAGCUUGUUAUUUUUAUUAAUUCAACAGCAUAAACGCUCGUAGCACAUCACAAAACAAACACCAAGAUAGUUCUGUGAUUCACAGUAGGACUGCCUCUGAUCACUGCUGUAUAUUUGUAUGUAGCUACACAAAAAAGUCCAGUCCACUGGCUUUGGCUUUAUACACACGUGAUUGUUACCAGGCCCCAGCUUUGAUAUAUUGGUACAAUACUGGAAAGAAACAAGCUGCAGAAAUCAGAUAUCCAUGGUUGUUUUGGUGAGUAACGUGCAUGUCUUGUGGAUUGUGUAAUGCAUUUUUUGGGUUUUUUUUUUUUUUUUUUUGAAUGCUUGCCCUAAGACAGGAGGCCUACAUUUGUCUGCCUGCCUUGUGCAGCAUGCUUGUGUUUUUGCAUGUACGUUUCUAGAUGUCAAGAGCUGCAACAGAAAGGUUUUGGGAGGGAUAAAAAGCAGAAACAGGAGAGGAAGAUGAUGAGCAGAAGGGAGGUGGUAAGGGAGGCACUUACACAACUGCUCUCCUGAUGACUGUUUCCUGUGUUUUGGCCAGAAAGGAGAAAAGUGCAUCAAAGAAUGGCAAAGCCAACAGGUGUCUGAAGGCUCCUCAGCAGUGGAGCCAAAUUUCCCUGCUUCACAGGCAAAGCGAGACUCAAGAGUGCUAUCACAUGGCAGCUGAGCCAAACCUAAUGAAUUGCUAGUAUCAAAAAGGACAGCCCUACUGCUCUCUUUUUGUGCAGGUCUGGUGCUUGUCUGACCCUUUGAUGAAUUUAUGCAGCUCAAUAAACUUUAAGAAAAUGAAUUCAGCAAAAAAUAGCGAAGCUAUCAGUCCAGGAAGGGAGGAGGGGAGAUACUGUGAGAGUCAAACCUGGAACUGCAGUGGUGGGGAGAGGUUGUGCCUUCCCUCAGAAGAGGACACGCUGAAUACGGAGUGAUUAAGACAGAUGCCUGGACAGGUGAAGGGAGGUGUUCCAGCAGUGGCAGUGCACACAGCAGAGGAGGGAACAAAUUGCUGCAAGACUGCAGGAGCCCAGGAGGAUGUUGCCAUGGAAGGCAUCUUGUCGUGGGGCUCUGCAUAUCUGAAGUAAUAACCGCUGAUGUCAGGGGAAAAAAAAGUAUGCCAGGGAUCCAAUGACCCUAUGAGAGAUGCGGUGUGGAUUUCAGUGGGACAUGGACUGGGCCUCAUAAGCUGCUUGUCUCACACCAACAACCCCCUGAUACUAUCAUGAAAACUUCCCGUUUACAGCGACAGGUGCCGCAGGGGGCUGUAUACUUGGAUAUUAUUAAUUCUUUCCUUAGGAGUGUUUAUUAACAAAUGCUUGCAAGUUGUAUGGUGUGGUGUGGUGUAAACAGGAAGCACUCCAAGGUACUGCAUUGCCCAUGUAAUGCAGCACAUAUUCCAACAGCUUGGCUUUUUUUUUUUCCAAAAUACUGCGACACCACUUCCUUCAAGAAGUCUCUCCUGCCUGCGUGGCUCAUUUCUGCUAUAGAUAUGCAAAGCUGCAAAAGAACCGAUUGUUUUAAAAAUGAAUGUUGAUUUGCUAGACUGGGAACUGAUGUCUGUAAUUUAUAUCCUAUCUUUAAAGUUAUGCAGUACAGACUCUUUGGGCGCUCUGAUCAGCAGACUGAACAAAGCGCAAGAGAAGAGGCUGCCACCUUUCCUCCUGCAGCAUAGUGUUGCCUGGAGAGCAGCGAUGCAGACUGCCCUGCAGGUACUGCAGUGCAUCUCAGCCCAAGCCCUGGGGCAGUGCCUCUUCUGCCACUCUGUGCCAGCAGGCUGGGCUCUGACCGGUGCAGGGAAACAGUUGUUCCAUUUCCAGUCAGCUCUUAUUGUCUGCCAAGAGCAGCAAUGGGAAAGCUAAGAGUGACCGUUCAUAUGUGGAAACUUUAUAUUCACAAUAACGGCGCUGAGGCCUCCAAGCUGUCUCAUAAGGGCUCCAUGCUCUUGUUGUGUGAUGUACCAGUGCUGUCUGUAUUCUGGGCUUUUAUGUGAGCAUCUCAGAAUCCCACUGGCACACUGUUUCCUAUGCCUUGUUCAGACAGUGCUAUGUACAACAGGAGCAGACAGCGGGGAAUUAUACUUGUGCCACCACAAGAUCACUACCUACAUGGUUGUUAUAAACCAAAACGAGUGCUAAGAACAUCACUUGAAAUGAAGUUCUAGUAGCAUUGUCAUGAAGGUUUGGUAUCAUUUCCUAAACUGGUUCUCAGUGAAGGUGCUUCUGUGUCUGCCCCAGGUGUAAUGCAAUUGGGCUGAUAUCAGGACUGAUGCUUUCUUCUCUAUCCUCCCAUCAGUCAAGCUCUUCAUCACACAUACCCCCUUGAUUUUUUAACUGUGAGUGAGAAAGAAUGAAAAUGAAAUUGCUGCAAUAUCUGGACCACAUAAAACCCCAAUAAUCCUGUGUCUAUGUUCUUUAACUUCUGCCCUUAUUGGAGGCAUCCCUUGUCCAGUGUGAAGUGGAACUGAGAGUGACUGGGGGAAACAGACAGUGUGUUUAAGUAUUUGUAAAUCAUGAGCCUUGUGAGGUUUUGUAAUAAUCUUACUGCCUAUUUUGUGUUUUUGUGUAUUCGUCUAGCAACUGAUGAUAUCAAAAACAGAGAGAUCAGGAGGCUGAUAUUACACGCUAAGUCUGUUCUGUAAAAUCUCAGUAGCCUUUUGGUGCAUGGAACUUCGGCACACGCAAACUGUGACUGCAGCGACGUCCUCCUUGUUUACAGAAUUGGAAGUCUUGAGCAAAGCGAAGCUGACUCGUGGAGAAGCUGGUUUUCAAAAGAUACAAGCUCCAGAUAACUAAGGACAAGUGAAGCACACAACAAUAUAGAAAUCACUCGGUUUUACUGCAGCCAACUGAGACAAAGUGUGCUUUGAAGCUGGGAAAUUUCCAUUACUGAAGUGCAGGACAGUGCCUGGAUACUGCUGCUACUGCAGCUGAGAAAUAAAAGCAACUUAAUUUUACAUAGCAGCAAAAUGUCAGUAUGUUAAUUACAACUGUUAGAGUUUUAUAAGAUUUUAAGGAUGCCGUAAAAUGGAUUCCUUCUAAAAUAUUUAGGAUAUAAUUGUAAAUGACUUCUCUAAAACUAAGGAGCAUUAAAAGGACUUGAAAUUGUACCUAAGUUUUCAAGCUGUAUCAUAUUUGUGAACAUCAGAUCUGACAAGAACAUGACACGACAUC